GUGCUCGCUUCGGCAGCACAUAUACUAAAAUUGGAACGAUACAGAGAAGAUUAGCAUGGCCCCUGCGCAAGGGUUAGAAGUAGGGACAGAGAGACCUAUCUGGUUUUC
Small nuclear RNA from Ochotona princeps (American pika), 108 nucleotides. NCBI's taxonomy places the organism in Eukaryota, Metazoa, Chordata, Mammalia, Lagomorpha, Ochotonidae. The record is from RefSeq and is a predicted model, not a curated record.